This 504-nucleotide long non-coding RNA is filed under the name Chrysemys picta bellii (western painted turtle). Its description in RNAcentral is "lncRNA (ENSCPBG00000022489.1)". The record is from RNAcentral. Lineage: Eukaryota; Metazoa; Chordata; Testudines; Emydidae.
UUACCAAGAGACAGCAUUGCCAGCUCUUCUGUCAAGUGUUAGAUUUCUUUAGCAAAUUGGUACAACUGCCUGAACUUCUUCCAACAUAUCACAUACCCCCUUUUUGCAGAAUUGAAGGGCUUGCUGAUUGUCUGACAUCAAUGCUUAUCUACAUUCACUGAAGGAAAGUAUUGGAUAGAUCAGGUUCUAACAGAUCACCCCACGUUAAAAAAAACAGUUGAGUACCGAAGCGCUUCUAAACCUGAAGAAGGAAAGUAUCUCUUGCUUUUCAGAAUUACCAGAUGGGGCUUUUCACAUCCCUUUCAGAGCACUGAGGCUCAGUGUUUGUACAAGUCUUCACUCUUGAGGCCCUGAAUCAUGUUCACCCAAUGAAGAAGACUUCAACAGAGGACUGGACAGGACUCAUUUGGAGAAAACCAAUUCUCUCUUCUUCAAUCGGCAAGAAAGGACAAAGUUGAGUAUGGGUUGAGGGACUCAGAAGUAGUUUGGGCUCUAGCUACAGUG